GAUGAACGCUGGCGGCGUGCCUAAUACAUGCAAGUCGAGCGAACGGACGAGAAGCUUGCUUCUCUGAUGUUAGCGGCGGACGGGUGAGUAACACGUGGAUAACCUACCUAUAAGACUGGGAUAACUUCGGGAAACCGUAGCUAAUACCGGAUAAUAUUUUGAACCGCAUGGUUCAAAAGUGAAAGACGGUCUUGCUGUCACUUAUAGAUGGAUCCGCGCUGCAUUAGCUAGUUGGUAAGGUAACGGCUUACCAAGGCACCGAUGCAUAGCCGACCUGAGAGGGUGAUCGGCCACACUGGAACUGAGACACGGUCCAGACUCCUACGGGAGGCAGCAGUAGGGAAUCUUCCGCAAUGGGCGAAAGCCUGACGGAGCAACGCCGCGUGAGUGAUGAAGGUCUUCGGAUCGUAAAACUCUGUUAUUAGGGAAGAACAUAUGUGUAAGUAACUGUGCACAUCUUGACGGUACCUAAUCAGAAAGCCACGGCUAACUACGUG
RNAcentral lists this ribosomal RNA (497 nucleotides) under uncultured bacterium. Its description in RNAcentral is "partial 16S ribosomal RNA". It matches the Rfam family "Bacterial small subunit ribosomal RNA", at positions 28 to 507 of the family's 1533-position model. The record is from RNAcentral.